CUUCAAGUGGGGUUUGUGCACGAGGAUCUUCACCGCAGUUGUCGUCCAUGUCAUCGAGCUUUGGAAGAUUCCAUCCGUCGAAACAUAAACCGAUUUGGUCAUUCAUUUCUUUAAAUAUUUCAGUUUCUCGUGGCACAUGCUUGCCUACGGUGUCACAAAGUCUCUGUCUUUUUUCUUGUGGAUUAUAUAUAUUGACAAUGCCUUUGAUGAACUCACCGUAAGCAUCACCUUCGAGUUUGUUAAGAUCU
This 248-nucleotide long non-coding RNA is filed under the name Daucus carota (carrot). RNAcentral's name for it is "long non-coding RNA (DCAR_LNC005985)". The record is from RNAcentral. Lineage: Eukaryota; Viridiplantae; Streptophyta; Magnoliopsida; Apiales; Apiaceae.